CCUACGUGAGGCAGCAGUGAGGAAUAUUGGUCAAUGGGCUUACGCCUGAACCAGCCAAGUCGCGUGAGGGAAGACUGCCCUAUGGGUUGUAAACCUCUUUUGUCAGGGAGCAACGCCGGCUACGUGUAGCCGGACUGAGAGUACCUGAAGAAAAAGCAUCGGCUAACUCCGUGCCAGCAGCCGCGGUAAUACGGAGGAUGCGAGCGUUAUCCGGAUUUAUUGGGUUUAAAGGGUGCGUAGGCGGAAUGCCAAGUCAGCGGUAAAAUCGCGGGGCUCAACCUCGCUCCGCCGUUGAAACUGGCGUUCUUGAGUGGGCGAGAAGUAUGCGGAAGGCGUGGUGUAGCGGUGAAAUGCAUAGCUAUCACGCAGAACUCCGAUUGCGAAGGCAGCAUACCGGCGCCCAACUGACGCUGAAGCACGAAAGCGUGGGUAUCGAACAGGAUUAGAUACCCCGGUAGUC
Molecule: ribosomal RNA, 460 nt
Filed under: uncultured bacterium
Lineage: Bacteria
Description: partial 16S ribosomal RNA
Rfam family: Bacterial small subunit ribosomal RNA
Source: RNAcentral